UACAUGUGGGGCAAGCGUUGUUCGGAAUUACUGGGCAUAAAGGGUGCGUAGGCGGCUUGUUAAGUCAGGGGUGAAAGUUUUCGGCCCAACCGGAAAAUUGCCUUUGAUACUGGCGAGCUGGAGUGCGUGAGGGGUGACCGGAACGAGUGGUGUAGCGGUGAAAUGCGUAGAUAUCACUCGGAAGGCCAACGGCGAAGGCAGGUCACUGGUGCGCAACUGACGCUGAGGCGCGAAAGCGUGGGGAGCAAACAGG
RNAcentral lists this ribosomal RNA (253 nucleotides) under uncultured bacterium. RNAcentral describes it as "partial 16S ribosomal RNA". It matches the Rfam family "Bacterial small subunit ribosomal RNA", at positions 524 to 776 of the family's 1533-position model. The record is from RNAcentral.